AUAUAUAUAUAUAUUUAUAUAAAUUUAUAUACACACAUAACACAUAUAUACAUUAGUUCAACUUUGUGGUGGUGGUUAAGCUCACAUCAUUUUCAAUGUAUUUUAUCCAUUUUCUUCCCGAAAAAAACUAUAUUGCCACCAAAACCCACCAUCGAAUGGAAAAUAUAUAACAGCAGCAAUAACAUCAACUACAAUAAAAUAAUAUAAUAUUGAUAAUAUUAAUAAUAAUAACAACAUUAUUAUUAUUAUUAUUAUUAAUAUUAACAACCUACCCUCUAGGAAACAUACAUCUAAUUAAAGACUAGCCCCCCCUAAACGCCCUCUGAAAGCCCAAAAAAACAUAUACUUUGACAAGGAGCACCUGCCGUGGCAUCUACACCAAUAUCCAUCAUGUCGGGUCAGAGUAUUAUGGACCGCGUUAAUGCGGCCAGACACAGCAUCGCUGGUCAAGGGCUGGCCAAAUCUGUGUGUAAGGCCACCACAGAGGAAAUCAUGGGACCAAAGAAGAAGCAUCUUGAUUAUUUAGUCCAGUGUACAAACGAACCAAAUGUAUCAAUUCCACAAUUGGCUGAUCUCUUAAUUGAACGCACCCAGCACGGGAACUGGGUUGUUGUGUUUAAAUCGCUUAUUACAAUUCAGAACCUAAUGAACUUUGGUAACGAGCGUUUCACACAAUAUUUGGCCUCAAACAACUGCUCAUUCAACCUGAACAGUUUCUUGGAUAAAAGCGGGGUGCAAGCAUUACAACAAAACUUAACUGGCAACCCUGAUUUUUAUGCCCUCAUCAGACAAGCUCCGCAACAGCCUAUCCCAGGCUCUCCAGAUUUUCAUGCAAUCAAGCAAGGCUAUGACAUGUCAACUUUCAUUAGAAGAUAUGCCAAAUAUUUGAACGAAAAAGCCAUUUCUUACAGAUUAAUGGCAUUCGACUUCUGUAAAAUAAAGAGAGGAAAAGAUGACGGAACGUUAAGAACAAUGAAUGCAGAAAAGCUUUUGAAAACGUUGCCUGUUUUACAGAAACAAAUGGACGCCCUUCUUGAUUUUUAUUGCACACCAAAUGAAUUGACCAAUGGAGUUAUAAACGCUUGCUUCCUGCUUUUGUUUAAAGAUUUGAUCCGGUUAUUUGCUUGUUACAACGAUGGCAUUAUCAAUUUAUUGGAAAAAUAUUUUGAUAUGAAUAAAAAGCAAUGUAAAGAAGCUUUGGAUAUUUACAAGAAAUUCCUUGUUAGAAUGGAUAAAGUGUCAGAAUUUUUGAAAGUAGCCGAGAAUGUUGGAAUUGACAAAGGGGAUAUCCCAGACUUAGCUAAGGCACCUUCAAGUCUCCUAGAUGCCUUAGAGCAACAUUACGCAUCUUUAGAAGGCAAGAAAAUUCCAGGCUCUUCAUCUAAGCCAGCAGGCUUCACUGCUGCUCUGAAUACUAUGGCUGACCAAAAUGUUGCUUUUAGUGGUGUUUCAGAUGAUGAAAAAAGGAAAAUUCUCGAUGAUGAAACUCAGCGUUUGAAUCAAUUAAAGUCAACCGAAUUCUCAGAGACAACUAGUGCAAGCUCUGAUCAACGAAUUAAGGAAUUAAACCAGACCUCUCCACAGACCUCCCCACAGAAUCAGCCAGCUACGUAUGCGUCGACGAACCCCUUCAGCAGCGGCCCGGCAGAGGCCCUCACCUCCGACCUGCUUCUCGACACCAGCCUGACGACCACACAGCCCGCGAAACCCAUCAGUGACCUGCUCGGUUUGUCAGCCUCCACCAACCCCUUCGUCGACAGUCUUCCCACAAAUGCAGUGUCGCCAGGUCAAACCAACACAAUGACUUCUAUGGGCUGGACAGCGAAGCCAGCAUCCCCCGCCAUGAAUACCACAACCCAAGCCGGAGAAUCAGCAUUUACCACUGACGCAGCUUUUGCUGCUGCAUUCCCUAAUUCCUCAGUAUCAACAGCAGGGGUAAUGGACAUGAUAUCUCCUUCUAAUGCUGCUACCACUACUACUACUCCUUCUGCCUCUCUUGCUGCAAUGGCACAGAGCACUUCACCAGCGCCACCUGCAGUCCAUACGGAACUGGAAGACCUUCUCGAUCCGCUGGAAGCCCUCGAUCCGCUGGCCCCUAAACGACCUGUAAGCCCAGCGUUCGUUCGGCCAGUCAGUCCAGCCAUUGUCCCUCCGGCGAGUCCAGCCUUCAAUCGGCCGGUCAGUCCCGUCACUGGCUCCACCUUCAAUGCUCCGGUCAGUCCGUCUGCUACUGCUUUUAAUCCGCCAGCCAGCCCAUCAUCUUCGUGUUUCAAACCGCCAGCGAGUCCUUCAGCUCAGCGUAGCGUGACUCCUACCUACAUGGAUAACCGAGACAAAGGACUGCAGGACUUAACUAGUCCUGCAAUGACCACUGGAUCUGACCCAGGAUUUAAUGCUUUCGGUGAUGUGUUACAACCCCAGACUCAAACCCCUUCAAAGAAAGAACCAAUGAAGCUGAUUCAGGGAGAUUUGGAUCUCAGUUUGGCCCAGAUGGCAGCUAACUUAAACAUCAACGGCCCUGCAAGUCAAGUCAAGAAAACCGACCAUCAGUGGCAGCCAAAAGGGGAACAAAAGAAAACAGGCGGCGCCAAUUGGGCAGCACCGGUAUUGUCUUCUUCUACAACUUGGAAUAUGUCUCAGCCAGUACAGCCUGGCAUUGGUUUGUCGCCAACUGCUGGAGGUGGUGGACCACGUAUGCCAGCAGCUACUACCGGAAUGGCGGGAACAGAUUUGUUUGGCGCCAAGCCUCCUACAACAAAAUCUCAAACCCAACCAAAUGAUCCAUUUGGUGCUUUGUGAAAGCCGAAAUUUUUAUUGGCCAUCAAAGUGCUCUUGUGAACCAAGUACAGCAAUAUAUAUAUAUAUAUAAAUAUAUAUAUAUAUAUAUAUAUGUGGACAUCUACACACAAUCAACCAUACAUACCAAUAAUAUAUAUUGUGAUACACUGACACACAUACACACACACAUGCACACACAUAUAUAUAUAUACAGACAUAUACAAACUCAUACAUAUAUAGUUAAAUGUCUAUACAUACAUACACACAUAUAUAGAUGUAUGUACAUAAUAUUAUAUAUAUAUAUAUAUAUACAUAUAUAUGUUUGUGUAUAUGUAUGUAUGUAUGUAUGUAGAACAUUGGCCCAGUGUAUAUAAUGAACCUAUUUCCCAGUCUCCCUGCACUAAGAGGACACAAUAAUACGGACACAGCUUGGACACUUCUUUGUCUUUCUCUCUCUCUCUCUCUCUCUCUCUCUCUGUCCCUCUCUCUCUUAUACUCUCACUCAGUUUCACUCACACUCACACUCUAACACUGGAUAUGAAGUAUGACUCGAAGGAACCUUGAAGUAGUUUUGUCCAACGACAGAACAGUUGAGAUUGUCUGUGAAGAACGGAGACAGGAAAACUCAGAGCAGUGGCAGCAGGAAACCUCAGCUUCAAAUAACAGAUUAUAUCAACAAACAUACUCACUCACGAACACAUCUAUUUACAUGUAUAUAUAUAUACAUAUAUACAAUAACAAAUGGUAUAGGGUGAAUGUAUAUAUUAUAUGUAAAGAAUAUGGUACAACAAUGCACUAUAAUACAGACAAUGGGCUAUAUACCUGUUGUAAUUUAGUCAUCUAUAGUCUUUUGAUAUUUCGGACAAAUAUUCCUUCUUCAGAUAUUCUUAGAUGGAAUCGCUGAUAUAAUUGGUUUUACCAACGGCGUUUCUUU
RNAcentral lists this unclassified non-coding RNA (3712 nucleotides) under Octopus sinensis (East Asian common octopus). Its description in RNAcentral is "phosphatidylinositol-binding clathrin assembly protein LAP, transcript variant X12". Lineage: Eukaryota; Metazoa; Mollusca; Cephalopoda; Octopoda; Octopodidae. The record is from RNAcentral.